GUAGGGAAGCAGGGGCUCGUGGGGAGUGGGAGGAAGCUGGGGAGAAGAUGAGUUGAGAGCAGUCCAGUGUGAGGGAAAGUGGGGAUCCUGGGCCAACUUACCAUUAAGAGGGUCCAGUCCUGUGACUGCUGUGAAGUAACCAGGAUUCCACAUAGAGAUGGGGCUCAAAGUCAGCCCAGGAGCAGCACUGUGGUCCCAGAACUAAUAUUUGGCGACUCCAAGGCCAGGGAUAAAAAUGAAGAGAUGGAGAGACAAGAUUUCCUGGCCUCUAAUUGGCAGCACCCGUUGACUCUGCUCGUGACCAGACUCAUGAACGCUUCAUCCAAGGUUUCAUGUCAUCCGUGUGAGGAACCUCUCUGAUUUGAGAAAAUCUUUCUUAAAAUGGGCUUCUAGUUGUAAAGCCAUUGUCUUUUUAGGAAAUCAUCAAAUACCUUAAAGCUAGACACGCAAUCAGCUGCAUAAAUGACACACUCACUAAAUCAAUCCUUUAUCAGGUGGUCCUUCAAGGAUUUCUUGGUUUUGGGUUUUGAAAUGUGUAAGGUUUGCUGCUAGCAACUCCACAUUUUUUUAUUCACUCACAAAGACACAUGGUCAUAAAUAAAAUGCAUGGAACCAGCGAGACAAUAGCACAGCAGUAAUGUCAUUUUAUAUGCAGCAUGGCCCUGUUGUGAACGGAAUGAUUGUGAACGGAAUGAUGGCCAAGGAGCUUUAUGCUUCUGCACCGCCAGCUCACACGAUGGUCCGUGUAUUGCCCCGUGGAAAACCGGGGGUGGAAAGCUGUCUCCACGUUCUGCUGCCGAAGCAGCAAGCUGAUUCACACAUCUUGAAGGCACAGUGGAACAUGGAAGGGUGCAUAUGAGACUUGAUUUUGAGGAUGAAACUUCCUGUCUGAAUCGCUAAGUCUCCCAGCAGGGGUGUUAAUGUCCCUGUGAGAUGCAGGCUUCCCACAGACACACCCAGGUUGCGAGUGGGUUCAACAUGGUCACAGGAGCUUCAAAUGGUGAUCCUGAUGCUCAUGGCCAUGCAUUGAGAACAACUGUGUAAGAAGAUAUGGAUAAUGCUUGAAAACUACUAGUAUUAGCACCAUUUUGCAUAUACUCCAAGGAAGAUCUCAAUAAAUGCUUAAUGGAAAUAAGUAAAGGUAUGAAUGCUGGACCUAAUACAGGAGGAAGACCCAGGUGAUUUGUGUACAAUUUGGACACAAGCUCUUGCCAACCACCUGAGAGAUUCCAACAAUGAGAUGAGAUUCCUUACCUUGAACCAGAUAAUUUGGAAUGAAUGUCUAGGCAGAACUUCUGCUUCAGAAUGACCACAAUUAACUACCAGACAACCAACUUUGGGGACAUAUCAGUAGGUGCAGAGCAUUUAGAACUGGAAGGACCAUUUGAAAUACAUAGUUCAUCUCUCUCAUGUUACUGAGGAGGAAAACUGAAGUGCACGGAGGUAAAGUAACUCGCCCAGUAUCACAAUUUGUGUUUGUACCAUUGCUGAGGUGAGCACCUGGGCCUUCUAACCCCAAAUUAAAUUAUUCUCCUAUGUGACAACCUCCUUUAAUGGUUUUUUCUCAUUUAUAUUUAAAAUUUUUAAAGUACCCAAGUAAUAAUACACGUUCAUGGUAGAAAAAGAAAAAAAAUUAGCAAAAUGAGGAAAAUAAAAAUCAGUUUUAAUCCCACCUUCAGAUGCAACUAUUCUCUGUUUUGUAUUUCCUUUCUAGAUAAUAACUAUAACGGAUCAUUAUUAUGAAAUGCUUA
Long non-coding RNA from Homo sapiens (human), 1751 nucleotides. RefSeq lists it as uncharacterized. The transcript has 7 exons. The record is from RefSeq and is a predicted model, not a curated record. NCBI's taxonomy places the organism in Eukaryota, Metazoa, Chordata, Mammalia, Primates, Hominidae.